This 526-nucleotide ribosomal RNA is filed under the name uncultured bacterium. Its description in RNAcentral is "bacterial SSU rRNA". It matches the Rfam family "Bacterial small subunit ribosomal RNA", at positions 777 to 1304 of the family's 1533-position model. The record is from RNAcentral.
AAUAGAUACCCGGUAGUCCACGCCGUAAACGAUGAGUGCUAAGUGUUAGGGGGUUUCCGCCCCUUAGUGCUGCAGCUAACGCAUUAAGCACUCCGCCUGGGGAGUACGGUCGCAAGACUGAAACUCAAAGGAAUUGACGGGGGCCCGCACAAGCGGUGGAGCAUGUGGUUUAAUUCGAAGCAACGCGAAGAACCUUACCAGGUCUUGACAUCCUCUGACAAUCCUAGAGAUAGGACGUCCCCUUCGGGGGCAGAGUGACAGGUGGUGCAUGGUUGUCGUCAGCUCGUGUCGUGAGAUGUUGGGUUAAGUCCCGCAACGAGCGCAACCCUUGAUCUUAGUUGCCAGCAUUCAGUUGGGCACUCUAAGGUGACUGCCGGUGACAAACCGGAGGAAGGUGGGGAUGACGUCAAAUCAUCAUGCCCCUUAUGACCUGGGCUACACACGUGCUACAAUGGACAGAACAAAGGGCAGCGAAACCGCGAGGUUAAGCCAAUCCCACAAAUCUGUUCUCAGUUCGGAUCGCAGU